RNAcentral lists this ribosomal RNA (211 nucleotides) under uncultured bacterium. RNAcentral's name for it is "partial 16S ribosomal RNA". It matches the Rfam family "Bacterial small subunit ribosomal RNA", at positions 1288 to 1500 of the family's 1533-position model. The record is from RNAcentral.
CAUUCGGAUUGUAGGCUGCAACUCGCCUACAUGAAGUUGGAAUCGCUAGUAAUCGCGAAUCAGAAUGUCGCGGUGAAUACGUUCCCGGGUCUUGUACACACCGCCCGUCACACCACGAGAGUUUACAACACCCGAAGUCAGUGGCCUAACCGCAAGGAGGGAGCUACCUAAGGUGGGGUAGAUGAUUGGGGUGAAGUCGUAACAAGGUAAC